RNAcentral lists this transfer RNA (87 nucleotides) under Acidobacteriota bacterium. RNAcentral's name for it is "tRNA-Leu". It matches the Rfam family "tRNA". From Rfam's summary of the family: Transfer RNA (tRNA) molecules are approximately 80 nucleotides in length. Their secondary structure includes four short double-helical elements and three loops (D, anti-codon, and T loops). RNAcentral also lists the same sequence under 2 other names. Lineage: Bacteria; Pseudomonadati; Acidobacteriota. The record is from RNAcentral.
GCGGGAAUGGCGGAACUGGCAGACGCAGCAGGCUUAGGACCUGCCGGGCGCAAGCUCUUGGGGGUUCAAAUCCCUCUUCCCGCACCA